AUAUAUAUCGGUUAUGGAUGAGCUUGCGGGGUAUUAGGUAGUUGGUGUGGUAAUGGCGCACCAAGCCCAAGAUGCCUAGCCGGUUUGAGAGAACGAUCGGCCACACUGGGACUGAGACACGGCCCAGACGCUUACGAGCGGCAGCAGUGGGGAAUAUUGGACAAUGGGCGAAAGCCUGAUCCAGUGAUAUCGCUUUGGGGAUGACGGCGACAUACGUUGUAAACCCAAUGAAGUACGUUUAGAUUAUGACCGUACGUAUUUUAGAAGUCCCGGC
RNAcentral lists this ribosomal RNA (274 nucleotides) under uncultured Alphaproteobacteria bacterium. Its description in RNAcentral is "partial 16S ribosomal RNA". It matches the Rfam family "Bacterial small subunit ribosomal RNA", at positions 207 to 497 of the family's 1533-position model. Lineage: Bacteria; Pseudomonadati; Pseudomonadota; Alphaproteobacteria. The record is from RNAcentral.